This 301-nucleotide ribosomal RNA is filed under the name uncultured bacterium. RNAcentral's name for it is "partial 16S ribosomal RNA". It matches the Rfam family "Bacterial small subunit ribosomal RNA", at positions 509 to 807 of the family's 1533-position model. The record is from RNAcentral.
CAGCCGCCGCGGUAACACGGAGGGUGCAAGCGUUAAUCGGAAUUACUGGGCGUAAAGCGCACGCAGGCGGUCUGACAAGUCAGAUGUGAAAUCCCCGGGCUUAACCUGGGAACUGCAUUUGAAACUGUCAGGCUGGAGUCUUGUAGAGGGGGGUGGAAUUCCAGGUGUAGCGGUGAAAUGCGUAGAGAUCUGGAGGAAUACCGGUGGCGAAGGCGGCCCCCUGGACAAAGACUGACGCUCAGGUGCGAAAGCGUGGGGAGCAAACAGGAUUAGAUACCCGCGUAGUCCCUGUCUCUUAUAC